UGAGGAAUAUUGGGCAAUGGGCGGAAGCCUGACCCAGCCAUGCCGCGUGCAGGAAGACGGUCCUAUGGAUUGUAAACUGCUUUUAUACGGGAAGAAACACUCCGACGUGUCGGAACUUGACGGUACCGUAAGAAUAAGGAUCGGCUAACUCCGUGCCAGCAGCCGCGGUAAUACGGAGGAUCCAAGCGUUAUCCGGAAUCAUUGGGUUUAAAGGGUCCGUAGGCGGCCUUAUAAGUCAGUGGUGAAAUCUCCUAGCUCAACUAGGAAACUGCCAUUGAUACUGUAGGGCUUGAAUUUUUGUGAAGUAACUAGAAUAUGUAGUGUAGCGGUGAAAUGCUUAGAUAUUACAUGGAAUACCAAUUGCGAAGGCAGGUUACUAACAAACGAUUGACGCUGAUGGACGAAAGCGUGGGGAGCGAACAGGAUUAGAUACCCUGGUAGUCCACGCCGUAAACGAUGGAUACUAGCUGUUCGGAUUUAUCUGAGUGGCUAAGCGAAAGUGAUAAGUAUCCCACCUGGGGAGUACGAACGCAAGUUUG
Molecule: ribosomal RNA, 539 nt
Filed under: uncultured bacterium
Lineage: Bacteria
Description: bacterial SSU rRNA
Rfam family: Bacterial small subunit ribosomal RNA
Source: RNAcentral